GACAGAGGGUGCAAGCGUUAAUCGGAAUUACUGGGCGUAAAGCGUUCGUAGGUGGUGAUGUAAGUCAGAUGUGAAAGCCCCGGGCUCAACCUGGGAAUGGCAUUUGAGACUGUGUCACUAGAGGUAGGUAGAGGAUAGUAGAAUUUCAGGUGUAGCGGUGAAAUGCGUAGAUAUCUGAAGGAAUACCAGUGGCGAAGGCGGCUAUCUGGACCUUACCUGACACUGAGGAACGAAAGCGUGGGUAGCAAACAGG
Molecule: ribosomal RNA, 253 nt
Filed under: uncultured bacterium
Lineage: Bacteria
Description: partial 16S ribosomal RNA
Rfam family: Bacterial small subunit ribosomal RNA
Source: RNAcentral